RNAcentral lists this transfer RNA (71 nucleotides) under Candidatus Nealsoniibacteriota bacterium. Its description in RNAcentral is "Candidatus Nealsonbacteria bacterium tRNA-Ala". It matches the Rfam family "tRNA". From Rfam's summary of the family: Transfer RNA (tRNA) molecules are approximately 80 nucleotides in length. Their secondary structure includes four short double-helical elements and three loops (D, anti-codon, and T loops). Further hydrogen bonds mediate the characteristic L-shaped molecular structure. tRNAs have two regions of fundamental functional importance: the anti-codon, which is responsible for specific mRNA codon recognition, and the 3' end, to which the tRNAs corresponding amino acid is attached (by aminoacyl-tRNA synthetases). tRNAs cope with the degeneracy of the genetic code in two manners: having more than one tRNA (with a specific anti-codon) for a particular amino acid; and 'wobble' base-pairing, i.e. permitting non-standard base-pairing at the 3rd anti-codon position. Lineage: Bacteria; Candidatus Nealsoniibacteriota. The record is from RNAcentral.
GGGCCUGUAGCUCAACGGUAGAGCACUGCAUUCGCAUUGCAGAGACAUGGGUUCAAUUCCCGUCAGGUCCA